This 270-nucleotide ribosomal RNA is filed under the name uncultured archaeon. RNAcentral describes it as "partial 16S ribosomal RNA". It matches the Rfam family "Archaeal small subunit ribosomal RNA", at positions 477 to 747 of the family's 1478-position model. The record is from RNAcentral.
CAGCCCCUCGAGUGGUGGGGAUGAUUAUUUGGCCUAAAGCGUCCGUAGCCGGCCGAGCAAGUCUUCCGUUAAAUCCAGCGUCUCAAGCGUUGGACCGCGGGAGAUACUACACGGCUAGGGAGUGGGAGAGGUCAGCGGUAUUCUGGGGGUAGGGGCGAAAUCCUUUGAUCCCCGGAGGACCACCAGUGGCGAAGGCUGCUGACUAGAACACGUCUGACGGUCAGGGACGAAAGCUGGGGUAGCGAACCGGAUUAGAUACCCGCGUAGUCC